RNAcentral lists this ribosomal RNA (253 nucleotides) under uncultured bacterium. RNAcentral describes it as "partial 16S ribosomal RNA". It matches the Rfam family "Bacterial small subunit ribosomal RNA", at positions 524 to 776 of the family's 1533-position model. The record is from RNAcentral.
UACGUAGGGGGCAAGCGUUGUCCAGAUUUAUUGGGCGUAAAGAGCGUGUAGGCGGCCAUGCAGGUCCGUUGUGAAAACUCGAGGCUCAACCUCGAGACGCCGAUGGAAACCGCAUGGCUAGAGUCCGGAAGAGGAGAGUGGAAUUCCUGGUGUAGCGGUGAAAUGCGCAGAUAUCAGGAAGAACACCCGUGGCUAAGGCGGCUCUCUAGUACGGUACUGACGCUGAGACGCGAAAGCGUGGGGAGCGAACAGG